RNAcentral lists this ribosomal RNA (489 nucleotides) under Triticum aestivum (bread wheat). RNAcentral's name for it is "partial small subunit ribosomal RNA". Lineage: Eukaryota; Viridiplantae; Streptophyta; Magnoliopsida; Poales; Poaceae. The record is from RNAcentral.
AUGCCUAAUCCUAGAGAGGUUGAUCGUGCUCUGUUUGUUGAACAUGUUAGACUCAAGAAAUGUGGUUUUACUGUUAAGUUCUUACCCUGGUCUAAGGAUAUUGACUCUGAGGGACUCCUAGAAAUUGCUUGGGUUAGGAUUGGGCGCAUUCCCCCUAACAAAAGGUGUGAUAAAACAAUUGCUUAUGCCGGGGGGCUUGUGGGUAUCACUCUGGAGGUGGAUAUGUCCACCAUAAAUUGUCCCUUGUCAGUCAGAGCUAAAAUUGGUUGUCGCUCUAUUGACCAUCUCCCUACCAUGGCUGAAGGGGUGUUGGGGGGGGGGGGGCGUUUCUACAAGUUCACUUAUGAGGUUGAGGAAGUUCUUGUUAAGAAUCCCGUGUGCGCUGAGAAGGUUGCUGAGAUGACCAGAGGGGAUACAUCUAAACCUGAUCAGACCCCUAAACGCAAACAGGCUGAUCAGGAGAAAGGAGAUGAUGGCUCUGAGUCCUAG